CUACGUGCCAGCAGCCGCGGUAAUACGUAGGUGGCGAGCGUUGUCCGGAAUCAUUGGGCGUAAAGGGAGCGCAGGCGGGCCGGUAAGUCUUACUUAAAAGUGCGGGGCUCAACCCCGUGAUGGGAGAGAAACUAUCGGUCUUGAGUACAGGAGAGGAAAGCGGAAUUCCCAGUGUAGCGGUGAAAUGCGUAGAUAUUGGGAAGAACACCAGUGGCGAAGGCGGCUUUCUGGACUGCAACUGACGCUGAGGCGCGAAAGCCAGGGGAGCGAACGGGAUUAGAUACCCCGGUAGUCCUGGCCGUAAACGAUGGGUACUAGGUGUAGGAGGUAUCGACCCCUUCUGUGCCGGAGUUAACGCAAUAAGUACCCCGCCUGGGGAGUACGACCGCAAGGUUGAAACUCAAAGGAAUUGACGGGGGCCCGCACAAGCGGUGGAGUAUGUGGUUUAAUUCGACGCAACGCGAAGAACCUUACCAGGUCUUGACAU
This 487-nucleotide ribosomal RNA is filed under the name uncultured bacterium. Its description in RNAcentral is "bacterial SSU rRNA". It matches the Rfam family "Bacterial small subunit ribosomal RNA", at positions 501 to 987 of the family's 1533-position model. The record is from RNAcentral.